AAGCCCAACGGCUGAGUUGCAACACAAUCGAAUUGCGGGGAAGUCCUAAAGCCUCAGGGUACUAACCUGCUGUAGGAAUGCAGCAGGGGCCUGUGUUAAUCGCACAGGGUAUAGUAACAACCCCGGAGGAUCUAGCCAGGUGUGCUAGAAUGGACGAUCCGCAGCGAAGCCCCUAGACCAGGGGAACGUUCACAGACUAAGUGGUUGUGGGUAGGAGGGACUCCUGCUUAAGAUAUAGUCGGGCCGGCGCGGAAACGCGCUGGGGAUUCGCAAGAACGUAAACCGCUCCGUAGGUGAACCUGCGGAGGGAUC
RNAcentral lists this non-coding RNA (312 nucleotides) under Pezicula cinnamomea. RNAcentral describes it as "partial 18S ribosomal RNA". The stretch from base 1 to 262 matches the Rfam family "Group I catalytic intron", at positions 41 to 253 of the family's 253-position model. Rfam says of the family: Group I catalytic introns are large self-splicing ribozymes. They catalyse their own excision from mRNA, tRNA and rRNA precursors in a wide range of organisms. The record is from RNAcentral. Lineage: Eukaryota; Fungi; Ascomycota; Leotiomycetes; Helotiales; Dermateaceae.